GCCCGAGUGGUGAAAUCGGUAGACACAAGGGACUUAAAAUCCCUCGGCUGCAAGGCCGUGCCGGUUCGAUUCCGGCCUCGGGCACCA
RNAcentral lists this transfer RNA (87 nucleotides) under Burkholderiaceae bacterium. RNAcentral's name for it is "tRNA-Leu". It matches the Rfam family "tRNA". Rfam says of the family: Transfer RNA (tRNA) molecules are approximately 80 nucleotides in length. Their secondary structure includes four short double-helical elements and three loops (D, anti-codon, and T loops). Further hydrogen bonds mediate the characteristic L-shaped molecular structure. tRNAs have two regions of fundamental functional importance: the anti-codon, which is responsible for specific mRNA codon recognition, and the 3' end, to which the tRNAs corresponding amino acid is attached (by aminoacyl-tRNA synthetases). tRNAs cope with the degeneracy of the genetic code in two manners: having more than one tRNA (with a specific anti-codon) for a particular amino acid; and 'wobble' base-pairing, i.e. permitting non-standard base-pairing at the 3rd anti-codon position. The record is from RNAcentral. Lineage: Bacteria; Pseudomonadati; Pseudomonadota; Betaproteobacteria; Burkholderiales; Burkholderiaceae.